AGACUGGGAUAACUCCGGGAAACCGGGGCUAAUACCGGAUGGUUGUUUGAACCGCAUGGUUCAAACAUAAAAGGUGGCUUCGGGUACCACUUACAGAUGGACCCGCGGCGCAUUAGCUAGUUGGUGAGGUAACGGCUCACCAAGGCGACGAUGCGUAGCCGACCUGAGAGGGUGAUCGGCCCCCCCUGGCACUGAGACACGGCCCAAACUCCUACGGGAGGCAGCAGUAGGGAAUCUUCCGCAAUGGACGAAAGUCUGACGGAGCAACGCCGCGUGAGUGAUGAAGGUUUUCGGAUCGUAAAGCUCUGUUGUUAGGGAAGAACAAGUACCGUUCGAAUAGGGCGGUACCUUGACGGUACCUAACCAGAAAGCCACGGCUAACUACGUGCCAGCAGCCGCGGUAAUACGUAGGUGGCAAGCGUUGUCCGGAAUUAUUGGGCGUAAAGGGCUCGCAGGCGGUUUCUUAAGUCUGAUGUGAAAGCCCCCGGCUCAACCGGGGAGGGUCAUUGGAAACUGGGGAACUUGAGUGCAGAAGAGGA
Molecule: ribosomal RNA, 539 nt
Filed under: uncultured bacterium
Lineage: Bacteria
Description: bacterial SSU rRNA
Rfam family: Bacterial small subunit ribosomal RNA
Source: RNAcentral